This 1112-nucleotide long non-coding RNA is filed under the name Betta splendens (Siamese fighting fish). RNAcentral describes it as "lncRNA (ENSBSLG00000023735.1)". Lineage: Eukaryota; Metazoa; Chordata; Actinopteri; Anabantiformes; Osphronemidae. The record is from RNAcentral.
GCGAAACCAAGCGGAUAUAAUAUGACACGAAGAAAACAGACCACGGAGAAUCAUUUUAUCUGCAAAACAAAAUCUGACCAUGUUUAGGCUAGCAGAGAACGCUUAGCUGCGUGUGAUGGCCGCCACUGUGUCCCCUUUGCGUUGUCACGCACGUCCGUGCACGUGCGUCAAAACCAUGAGCAAUGGAGCGCCACUUGCCCCCGAGGAUCUGGGAGCUCUGGACACGGUUCAGACGGUGGAGCCGCGGAGGCAGACAGCGGUGGCAGCCGGAGGGGGAAGUUGCUGUGCACGGUCGUCCACCUAGGCGUUGGAGGACUCGCUUUGAGCGAGCCACUUCCCACGUUCUGGAAGUUGGCCCCCCCACCUCUGGCAUUGAGGUACCCCGCUUUGACCUGCCUUCUUACACACAACUUCCUCUUUACACUGAUCUCUUUCCUCCUCAUUCUCCUCCACGCUUUCCUGUUCCUUCUGCUAUUCCUUCCACACCUCCUCCUCCCUAUUCUCCUCCACGCUCUCCUGUUCCUUCUUCUGUUCCUUCCACACCCCCUCCUCCCUAUUCUCCUGUUCCCUCUUGCUCUUUUGCUGCUCCUCAUUCUCCUCCACGCUCUCCCUUUCCUUCUUCUGUUCCUUCCACACCCCCUCCUCCCUAUUCUCCUGUUCCUUCUUGCUCUUUUGCUGCUCCUCAUUCUCCUCCACGCUCUCCUGUUCGUCCUUCUUCUGUUCCUUCCACGCCCCCUCCUCCUUAUUCUCCUGUUCCUUCUUGCUCUACGGCUCCUCCUCUUUCUCCUCCAUGCUCUUUUGCUCCUUCUUCUUCUAUUCCACCUUCACCCCCUGCUCCUUCCCCUCUGGUUCCACUUAUUGUGGCUCCUUCUGAGCUGCCCUGUGUUCCCGAUGCUGGCCUUUCCCUGUCUCCUGUUAUUCAGGACUCAGGCUCCACAGUGGAAGGGACCAGCGAGGACUUAGCGGUUGGGGAAACCAACGAGGCUCCUAGCAGCAGCAGCAGCAGCAGCAGCAGCAGCAGCACACCUGGUAGAGGUAGGGAGGACAGUGAUGAGGAGGGGGCUGCUCCCAAAAGACCAUGUUUUACUGUGAGACACUGUGUCACACAGUAA